Molecule: long non-coding RNA, 240 nt
Organism: Pezoporus occidentalis (night parrot)
Lineage: Eukaryota; Metazoa; Chordata; Aves; Psittaciformes; Psittacidae
Exons: 3
Source: RefSeq, a predicted model, not a curated record
GAGAACGCUGGGUUGGGGCUUUGAUGUCCACCUCUGUCCCGUUGCAUCUCAUCUAUGGGCCCCUGGUCCCUGUGAAUCCACACCCAGAGUUCCUUCAGCUUUACAAGAAGGUGCCUCCCAUGUCCACAGUGUCUGUGCUGGACGACCACAUCAGCCACUAUCCACAGCUGGAGGAUCCAACAGGCUUCCUGAAUGCUUAUCUCGACUUGAUCAACUCCUUCUGAGCUGCUGCACCUCAGU